UUUACAGUAUAGUGUCCCCGUCACUAUACUGAGGCAUUAAGUCCCACGAAGUUGCAGGAUGAGCGCCACCAACUGGCCCCCCAAACACCUGUUCCAGCAGCGAACUUAGUUUUUCCCAGGAGGUCUCCUAUCCAGAAGGAGGCUGUGUUGUGCUUCACAGAAGCAGUAGAUGUGUCACGAUUGCUGUGAAGCAACACUGUUUCGCUCCAGCGCCCCCUUGAGGAAGCUGAGCCAUUUUAGAUGAGGGGGAACUUGGAAAGGAGAAGGGCAGGGGAUAAUCUGGAGGGCAUGCAGUAUCUGGGCUGUCUCCCUCCACUCCGAAAUCAGCAAAAACACUCACUUCCCUCUCUGGGUGGACAGUUUCACCUGAACAAACAGCUUCAGAUAUUUCAGGACACACUAGGCAGGUCCCAGCAGCUAUGUGAGACCC
Lepisosteus oculatus (spotted gar) is the source of this 430-nucleotide long non-coding RNA. RefSeq lists it as uncharacterized. Lineage: Eukaryota; Metazoa; Chordata; Actinopteri; Semionotiformes; Lepisosteidae. The record is from RefSeq and is a predicted model, not a curated record.